UCAUCUCUUCUUCCAAAUUCGAAGCUUUCUCAUUUUCACUCUCUGUCAUUAUACCGCCAUGGUAAGUCAUGACGCCUAUCUCUAUAUAUAUAACACACACAUACACACAUUUGUGUGUACGUGUAAUUAUUUUAAUGGUAACUCGAUCGAUGUCAUGCUCAUAUAUAUUCCAUGUGAACUUCUCCAUGUUCGCAGGUUGAGGAGACACCGAAGACAGGCUACAAAUUACAUAGCAGCCUUAGCUUGAAGCCCAAUGGUCAAAAGGGUGGCUUCAAAUCUUCUGGUUUCAUCUUUGGUAAAUCAUUACUUGUUUGUACAUAGUUACUAGUGAAUAUUAAAAGGCAAACGUCU
This 351-nucleotide long non-coding RNA is filed under the name Lactuca sativa (garden lettuce). RNAcentral describes it as "long non-coding RNA (LSAT_LNC009625)". Lineage: Eukaryota; Viridiplantae; Streptophyta; Magnoliopsida; Asterales; Asteraceae. The record is from RNAcentral.